This 1049-nucleotide ribosomal RNA is filed under the name uncultured Ascomycota. RNAcentral describes it as "eukaryotic LSU rRNA". The stretch from base 470 to 1049 matches the Rfam family "Eukaryotic large subunit ribosomal RNA", at positions 1 to 584 of the family's 3401-position model. The record is from RNAcentral. Lineage: Eukaryota; Fungi; Ascomycota.
AGGAUCAUUAUCGUAGGGCUUCGGUCCUGUCGAGAUAGCGUCCUUGCCUUUUUUUUUAGAGCACCGUUUGUUUCCUCAGCAGGCCUGCCUGCUACUGGGGACCCUUAAAACUCUUUGUAAAUACAGUAUCUGUCUGAAAAAAACAAACAAAAAAUCAAAACUUUCAACAAUGGAUCUCUUGGUUCUGGCAUCGAUGAAGAACGCAGCAAAAUGCGAUAAGUAGUGUGAAUUGCAGAAUUCAGUGAAUCAUCGAAUCUUUGAACGCACAUUGCGCCCUUUGGUAUUCCUUAGGGCAUGCCUGUUCGAGCGUCAUUUUCACCUUCAAGCACAGCUUGGUGUUGGGUGUCUGUCCUGCCGUCGGCAUGGACUCGCCUUAAAAUAAUUGGCAGCCACUUCAGCGGCUUUGAGCGCAGCAGAAUUGCGUCUCUGGCAGCAGAAAGUGGCCUCCACAAGCUUUACUUUUAUAUUUUGACCUCGGAUCAGGUAGGGAUACCCGCUGAACUUAAGCAUAUCAAUAAGCGGAGGAAAAGAAACCAACAGGGAUUGCCCUAGUAACGGCGAGUGAAGCGGCAACAGCUCAAAUUUGAAAUCUGGCCCUUUUGGGGGUCCGAGUUGUAAUUUGUAGAGGGUGCUUUGGCGUUGGCUGUGGUCUAAGUUCCUUGGAACAGGACGUCGCAGAGGGUGAGAAUCCCGUAUGUGGCCGCCAGUCUUCGCCGUGUAAAGCCCCUUCGACGAGUCGAGUUGUUUGGGAAUGCAGCUCUAAAUGGGAGGUAAAUUUCUUCUAAAGCUAAAUAUUGGCCAGAGACCGAUAGCGCACAAGUAGAGUGAUCGAAAGAUGAAAAGCACUUUGGAAAGAGAGUCAAAAAGCACGUGAAAUUGUUGAAAGGGAAGCGCUUGCAGCCAGACUUGCUUGUAGUUGCUUAGCUGGGCUUCUGCCCGGUGUACUCUUCUGCACGCAGGCCAGCAUCGGUCCGGGCGGUUGGAUAAAGGCCUAUUAAACGUACCUCUCCUCGGGGAGGACUUAUAGGGUAGGCGACAUGCAACCAGCC